AGAUUGAACGCUGGCGGCAGGCCUAACACAUGCAAGUCGAGCGGUAGAGAGGUGCUUGCAUCUCUUGAGAGCGGCGGACGGGUGAGUAAUGCCUAGGAAUCUGCCUAGUGGUGGGGGAUAACGUUCGGAAACGGACGCUAAUACCGCAUACGUCCUACGGGAGAAAGCGGGGGACCUUCGGGCCUCGCGCCAUUAGAUGAGCCUAGGUCGGAUUAGCUAGUUGGUGAGGUAAUGGCUCACCAAGGCGACGAUCCGUAACUGGUCUGAGAGGAUGAUCAGUCACACUGGAACUGAGACACGGCCCAGACCUCCGUACGGGAGCAGCAGGUGGGGAAUA
Molecule: ribosomal RNA, 337 nt
Filed under: uncultured soil bacterium
Lineage: Bacteria
Description: bacterial SSU rRNA
Rfam family: Bacterial small subunit ribosomal RNA
Source: RNAcentral